CCUACGGGAGGCAGCAGUGGGGAAUAUUGGGCAAUGGAGGAAACUCUGACCCAGCAACGCCGCGUGAAUGAUGAAGGUCUUCGGAUUGUAAAGUUCUUUUCUUAGGGAAGAAGAAAGUGACGGUACCUUAGGAAUAAGACUCGGCUAACUACGUGCCAGCAGCCGCGGUAAUACGUAGGAGGCAAGCGUUAUCCGGAAUGACUGGGCGUAAAGGGUGCGUAGGUGGUUUGACAAGUUGGUAGCGUAACUCCGAGGCUUAACCUCGGCACUACUACCAAAACUGUUGGACUCGAGUGCAGGAGGGGCAAAUGGAAUUCCUAGUGUAGCGGUGGAAUGCGUAGAUAUUAGGAGGAACACCAGUGGCGAAGGCGAUUUGCUGGACUGUAACUGACACUGAGGCACGAAAGCGUGGGGAGCAAACAGGAUUAGAUACCCCUGUAGUC
RNAcentral lists this ribosomal RNA (443 nucleotides) under uncultured bacterium. RNAcentral's name for it is "partial 16S ribosomal RNA". It matches the Rfam family "Bacterial small subunit ribosomal RNA", at positions 338 to 795 of the family's 1533-position model. The record is from RNAcentral.